CCUACGGGGUGCAGCAGUGAGGAAUAUUGGUCAAUGGGCGGGAGCCUGAACCAGCCAAGCCGCGUGAGGGAAGAAGGUACAGCGUAUCGUAAACCUCUUUUGUCAGGGAACAAAGGCGGGGACUAGCCCCCGGAUGAGGGUACCUGAAGAAAAAGCAUCGGCUAACUCCGGGCCAGCAGCCGCGGUAAUACGGAGGAUGCGAGCGUUAUCCGGAUUUAUUGGGUUUAAAGGGUGCGCAGGCGGCCUGUUAAGUCAGCGGGAAAAGCCCGGGGCUCAACCCCGGCGAGCCGUUGAAACUGGCGGGCUGGAGUUGGAGAGAAGUACGCGGAAUGCGCGGUGUAGCGGUGAAAUGCUUAGAUAUCGCGCAGAACCCCGAUUGCGAAGGCAGCGUACCGGCUCCACACAGACGCUGAGGCACGAAAGCGUGGGUAUCGAACAGGAUUAGAUACCCUUGUAGUC
Molecule: ribosomal RNA, 459 nt
Filed under: uncultured bacterium
Lineage: Bacteria
Description: partial 16S ribosomal RNA
Rfam family: Bacterial small subunit ribosomal RNA
Source: RNAcentral